CAAUUAUAGCAGCAACAAAGGCCACCAUGGUCCGGUGUGCAGUGGCCUUUUUUGAAUUCAAAAAAUGCGCAAUGAUCAAUGCAUGGCUGGUCGGAUAAAGUGUCUCAUUCACAACUUUUAAAUUUGAUACACAUCGUAGGGAAGGGGAGUUGGUUUUGGAUCUAUCCACAACAAAAUAUAGCAAACUUAGAAUAUAUAAAAUACUUAAGUUACUUGGGUUAGUUUGAAUUACAUACGUAAAGGUAUGUGCGCUUACACAAAGUGCGCAUAAAUAAAUCCCAAAAACAAGCAGAAAGAUUGAUUAGAUAGAUAAAUGGUUGUACCUGCAUGACAUGAGAAUAGAGUAGACAUCAUCACAAGAGCUACCAAGCAUAGAGCUCUUGUGUUGCUCUUGGUAAGUCCCAUAAGAAGUGGCUUGUUACUUAUUUCUUGUAUGUAUGUUUGUUCUUGUAGUUUGUA
Molecule: long non-coding RNA, 459 nt
Filed under: Triticum aestivum (bread wheat)
Lineage: Eukaryota; Viridiplantae; Streptophyta; Magnoliopsida; Poales; Poaceae
Description: long non-coding RNA (TAES_LNC025050)
Source: RNAcentral